GAUGAAGAACGCAGCGAAAUGCGAUAAGUAAUGCGAAUUGCAGAAUUCAGUGAGUCAUCGAAUCUUUGAACGCACAUUGCGCCCUGUGGUAUUCCGCAGGGCAUGCCUGUUCGAGCGUCAUUACAACCCUCAAGCUCAGCUUGGUGUUGGGCCCCGCCGCCCCGGCGGGCCCUAAAGUCAGUGGCGGUGCCGUCCGGCUCCGAGCGUAGUAAUUCUUCUCGCUCUGGAGGCCCGGUCGUGUGCUCGCCAGCAACCCCCAAUUUUUUUCAGGUUGACCUCGGAUCAGGUAGGGAUACCCGCUGAACUUAAGCAUAUCAAUAAGCGGAGGA
RNAcentral lists this unclassified non-coding RNA (329 nucleotides) under soil metagenome. RNAcentral describes it as "partial contains 5.8S ribosomal RNA, internal transcribed spacer 2, and large subunit ribosomal RNA". The stretch from base 1 to 120 matches the Rfam family "5.8S ribosomal RNA", at positions 35 to 154 of the family's 154-position model. The record is from RNAcentral.